UCCUCCAUUUUCUCGUCGGAAUCAGGCAUAGCUUGGUCUUUAGUGAUCUCUGCUUCAGCGGUCAGGGUUAGGGAUUCGUUUUGUUCCAUCCCGACCACAAAAACUGAUACAGGGAGAGGGAUGGAUGUUUUAUGUCAAUCUUUAACAAGGAUCGGACAGACAGUAAGACAGAACAGGACAACCACUCAUACAAGCACCAGACAAUGGAGCAGGUCAGACUCUACUCAGAACUCUGAAUCAGAUUUCAAAAACAAUGAAAAGCUCAAUUAGCCUGUGUUCACUUCAGGGUGCUGUACUGUUUACGGAGAUUGGAGAGCGAGGAAUGGAAGGUAAUUACACGUUCACUUGAAGUGAAUUGCACGGAUGGAAUUGAGGGAGAUUGCAGGAUUCUUCUACUAUUCAUUCACCCGCAUAUCUGAGGAGAUUUGGAAGGAUCAAAUGCACUUUCUCUAAAAUGCCCUUGUGAGUGAAUAAAAUUCUCAUAUGAAUAAAAUGCCCCUGGAAGGCUGGUGUUGGGGUUUCGUGAGACCAAAGGAGAUGGAAGGAGAGGUGCGUGAUGCCUAUUGCGACAGCGUGGUUAGCUUCGAUCAAUGGCGUGGUAACGGCCAGCUGGAGAAGAUGCUCGAAAGAAGCUUAUCAAUCUCACUGCGGAGUACCUCCUCUGUCUUCUCCACCGCCGUGCUCCCAUCUGCGUCAACACUACACUGCCGCCAUAUAUUACCUAAAAAAAAACCUUGCU
This 739-nucleotide long non-coding RNA is filed under the name Vigna radiata. Its description in RNAcentral is "long non-coding RNA (VRAD_LNC011549)". The record is from RNAcentral. Lineage: Eukaryota; Viridiplantae; Streptophyta; Magnoliopsida; Fabales; Fabaceae.